UACAUAGGGUGCGAGCGUUAAUCGGAAUUACUGGGCGUAAAGCGUGCGCAGGCGGUUUUGUAAGCCAGAUGUGAAAUCCCCGGGCUUAACCUGGGAAUGGCAUUUGGGACUGCAAGGCUCGAGUGCGGCAGAGGAGACUGGAAUUCCUGGUGUAGCAGUGAAAUGCGUAGAUAUCAGGAGGAACACCGAUGGCGAAGGCAGGUCUCUGGGCUGACACUGACGCUCAUGCACGAAAGCGUGGGGAGCAAACAGG
RNAcentral lists this ribosomal RNA (253 nucleotides) under uncultured bacterium. RNAcentral describes it as "partial 16S ribosomal RNA". It matches the Rfam family "Bacterial small subunit ribosomal RNA", at positions 524 to 776 of the family's 1533-position model. The record is from RNAcentral.